UGAUUAUUUAAGGGAGUAUGAAUCGCAUAGCAAUCCCUUGUAGCAGAUUCCCCCAAUAAGAGACAGAUUGAGGGUGAAGUACAACUGAAGGUUUAAUGGUACAGCUGCUUCUUUUAUACAGUAUUUCCCCACAAGGUUACCGCCCACGUGGACCUUGUGGGGCACAGGACAUGAAAUGCACAAUGCAAAUUACAUUUGAACACUCCCAGUUACUGUACACAAACCCUCCCCUCUGCCUGUGAUACAAUUAACAAAGACAAUGGGAUAACUCAAUUAACUUUAG
Molecule: non-coding RNA, 283 nt
Organism: Pelobates cultripes (western spadefoot toad)
Lineage: Eukaryota; Metazoa; Chordata; Amphibia; Anura; Pelobatidae
Source: the annotation of a GenBank genome assembly